GGUGGCUCAGUGGUAGAGUGCUUGCCUCCCAUACAUGAGGUCCUGGGUUCGAUUCCUCAGCACCA
Molecule: transfer RNA, 65 nt
Filed under: Dipodomys ordii (Ord's kangaroo rat)
Lineage: Eukaryota; Metazoa; Chordata; Mammalia; Rodentia; Heteromyidae
Rfam family: tRNA
About the family: Transfer RNA (tRNA) molecules are approximately 80 nucleotides in length.
Source: Rfam by way of RNAcentral